RNAcentral lists this ribosomal RNA (301 nucleotides) under uncultured bacterium. RNAcentral describes it as "partial 16S ribosomal RNA". It matches the Rfam family "Bacterial small subunit ribosomal RNA", at positions 509 to 807 of the family's 1533-position model. The record is from RNAcentral.
CAGUCGCCACGGUAAUACAGAGGGUGCGAGCGUUAAUCGGAUUUACUGGGCGUAAAGCGUGCGUAGGCGGCUUUUUAAGUCGGAUGUGAAAUCCCUGAGCUUAACUUAGGAAUUGCAUUCGAUACCGGGAAGCUAGAGUAUGGGAGAGGAUGGUAGAAUUCCAGGUAUAGCGGUGAAAUGCGUAGAGAUCUGGAGGAGUACCGAUGGCGAAGGCAGCCAUCUGGCCUAAUACUGACGCUGAGGUACGAAAGCAUGGGGAGCAAACAGGAUUAGAUACCCGGGUAGUCCCUGUCUCUUAUAC